GUCCCCAUCGUCUAGAGGCCUAGGACGCGAGCCCUUCAAGCUCGUUACGCGGGUUCAAAUCCCGCUGGGGACGCCA
This 76-nucleotide transfer RNA is filed under the name Myxococcales bacterium. RNAcentral describes it as "tRNA-Glu". It matches the Rfam family "tRNA". Rfam says of the family: Transfer RNA (tRNA) molecules are approximately 80 nucleotides in length. Their secondary structure includes four short double-helical elements and three loops (D, anti-codon, and T loops). Lineage: Bacteria; Pseudomonadati; Myxococcota; Myxococcia; Myxococcales. The record is from RNAcentral.